Molecule: ribosomal RNA, 570 nt
Filed under: Triticum aestivum (bread wheat)
Lineage: Eukaryota; Viridiplantae; Streptophyta; Magnoliopsida; Poales; Poaceae
Description: partial small subunit ribosomal RNA
Source: RNAcentral
AUGGCUUGCAGGAGGUGCCUUACGCAUACAGUACUAGUUAACGGGUACGGGGUCCUUGCUUCGGGCCCAAGCGCGCUCCAACGGAUUGACGACGUUUCAUCAGAAUCAGAAGACGAAGGGGGGAUAGGUUUCCCUGCAGGAGGCACGUUUGCCGAGUCUGAUUCGAAUGAGGAAGAUCAGAUCCAGGUCAAUGGGAAGGCGCCCUCGAUCGGGUCGAGGUGCAGCGUGAAGAAGUUGCACGAGCUGAUUUCCUCAUUCGAUGACGAGAAAAGACAAUAUGUAGCCGAGAUGGAGUCUGGGGAGCUGCUGGAACUACCAAAGAUAACAAGGACGGAUAGGCAUUUUCUAAUGUCUAUCCUAAGUCACCUCGAUGAGGAGGCAAGUUCAAUUACAAUCGAUCACAAGCGCGACAUGCAAUUUUACGAUGAAGAUGUCAAUCUGGUCAUCGGCAUACCAUGUGGAACUGCUCCUGUUCGGCCUCCAGACCACUCUCUUCAGGAGGCGGUGGUGACAGAGAUCAAAGAGAUGUUUGGAAUCGCUCCAGCAUACUGCCAAUCGUCGAAGCUGUGA